UAGGGAAUCUUCCACAAUGGAUGCAAGUCUGAUGGAGCAACGCCGCGUGAGUGAAGAAGGUUUUCGGACCGUAAAGCUCUGUUGUUGGUGAAGAAGGAUAGAGGUAGUAACUGGCCUUUAUUUGACGGUAAUCAACCAGAAAGUCACGGCUAACUACGUGCCAGCAGCCGCGGUAAUACGUAGGUGGCAAGCGUUGUCCGGAUUUAUUGGGCGUAAAGCGAGCGCAGGCGGAAGAAUAAGUCUGAUGUGAAAGCCCUCGGCUUAACCGAGGAAUUGCAUCGGAAACUGUUUUCUUGAGUGCAGAAGAGGAGAGUAGAACUCCAUGUGUAGCGGUGGAAUGCGUAGAUAUAUGGAAGAAUACCAGUGGCGAAGGCGGCUCUCUGGUCUGCAACUGACGCUGAGGCUCGAAAGCAUGGGUAGCGAACAGGAUUAGAUACCCUGGUAGUCCAUGCCGUAAACGAUGAGUGCUAAG
RNAcentral lists this ribosomal RNA (472 nucleotides) under uncultured bacterium. Its description in RNAcentral is "partial 16S ribosomal RNA". It matches the Rfam family "Bacterial small subunit ribosomal RNA", at positions 355 to 820 of the family's 1533-position model. The record is from RNAcentral.